UAUUUCAUAGCGAGGGGUAAAAUCCUGUGACCUGUGAAAGAUAGACAAGAGCGAAAGCAUUCCACAAAAAUGUUUUCAUGUGAUCAAGAACGAAAGUUGGGGGAUCGAAGACGAUCAGAUACCGUCGUAGUCUCAACUAUAAACUAUGCCGACCAGGGAUUGGAAAAGAAAAAGCACGGUUUAUCCGUGUUUAUUUCGAAUUAUUUAAAACGACAAUUUGGCGUUUUAAAAUAGACUUCUCCAGCACCUAAGAGAGA
RNAcentral lists this ribosomal RNA (257 nucleotides) under Iodamoeba sp. RL2. RNAcentral's name for it is "partial small subunit ribosomal RNA". It matches the Rfam family "Eukaryotic small subunit ribosomal RNA", at positions 895 to 1097 of the family's 1831-position model. Lineage: Eukaryota; Evosea; Mastigamoebida; Endamoebidae. The record is from RNAcentral.